AAAAUCAAUUACAAGUAGAAAACCAUUAUUAG
Molecule: small RNA, 32 nt
Filed under: Arabidopsis thaliana (thale cress)
Lineage: Eukaryota; Viridiplantae; Streptophyta; Magnoliopsida; Brassicales; Brassicaceae
Description: ATSL217260
Source: RNAcentral